This 1443-nucleotide long non-coding RNA is filed under the name Canis lupus familiaris (dog). Its description in RNAcentral is "lncRNA (ENSCAFG00845028275.1)". Lineage: Eukaryota; Metazoa; Chordata; Mammalia; Carnivora; Canidae. The record is from RNAcentral.
UGCUCAAGAAUGAUAUUGACUUAUAAUUUUCUUCUCCUCUUUCAUUGUCAUCAAAGUUUGAUAUCAGGCUUUUGGCUUUUGCUGGACUCCUAAGAUGUGUUGGGAAGAGCUGUGUCUUUCUUCUCUGAGACAGUGUGGUAAGUUUCAUCUUGUUUCUCCCUCAAAUGUUCAGUAGAAUUUACCAUUGAAGUUCUUUGAGCCUGGAGUUUUCUAUGUGAAAAGGCCUUUAUUUACAGAGGCAAUUUUAAAAAGUGAUGGAGGGCUAUUUACAUGUUCUAUUUAUUUUGUGUCAGUUCUAGUUUUAUAUUCUAUGGAGUUUAUCUGUUUUGUCUAAGUUAUUAAAUUUCAAGCACAGUGAGGUUCACAGUAGUACAUACCCCCUCAAUGUACAAUGUCUUUUUUUUCCCUCAUUCCUGAUACUAAUAUUUCAUGUUUACUUUUCGUUCGUCUUUGCUCAAUGGUAGGUGUUACAGUUUUCUAUUCAUGCAUAGCACAUUGCCCCCAAAAUUUAGUAACAUAAAACAAUAGUGAUUAUUUCACUUUCCCAUAGGUUGGCUGGUUACUUCCUCGUCUGGUUCCACCUGGGUCCCCCACAUGGCUGUCUUCAGCAGGAGGGCCUGCAGGACUGGACAUGGGCAUUAGCCUCACUCACAUCUUCAGCACACGACACCAGCUCUCCACGGAGGACCCCUCCAUUCUCAGUCACAUGGCCGCUCCUUCUCCUGCGGAAACAAAAAUGCAGCCAAAGGAACCCGAUUGUCAUUGACGGAAGAAAAAGGUAUUCACAAGUUUCUUUAUGUUUUGAAUAAUUGUUUCCUGUUUUGCUCAGCAGAACAAGUAAUUAAGAUGACAUUUGUGAGUACUAAUUUGGAUCACACUUAUGUGUAUGUGUUACAGAGCUGCAAGCCAAAACAUGCAAAACCAGCCUCUCAUUGAGGAGAAAGUGAAAAAUCCAGAAUGAGCUGGAAGGGGAGGGCCGAGAACUCCCAGGAGCCCUUGUGUGAAUCAGAAGCUCUCCUUAGCCUGGUGCCUCUGCCCACAGCCCCGUGCCGCCCACAGGAGCCACCACCCUGCACCUGGGCCGGGUGAUGGCAUCCCCGUCAGACCUCAGCCGCUCUACCGUCUGGGCUCCUGGCCUCUGCCCACCUGCCUGAGCCUGAAGCUGGUUCUCGGAUCAGCGUGCCCAUCUAGCGUAGCCUGAGCCCUUGCUCCCUCCCUGCCAAGCCCUCCAGUUUGGAAGCAGAGGCAGGAGGGCCAGGGCGGGGGGGGGGGUGGGGGAUCUUGUGGUUGGUUAACUGCAGGGUGCUGCUGUGGCCUCUGUCACACAGUCCCCGACAGACAUGGAGUGCAACAUACGUACAGAUGGCCCCUCUGGGGACUGAGCCGUCUCAGGAACGGUAAGAAUUUCUCUAUGCAGGUUAGAGGGCGGUCUGAGGACCGAGA